Molecule: ribosomal RNA, 498 nt
Filed under: uncultured Comamonadaceae bacterium
Lineage: Bacteria; Pseudomonadati; Pseudomonadota; Betaproteobacteria; Burkholderiales; Comamonadaceae
Description: bacterial SSU rRNA
Rfam family: Bacterial small subunit ribosomal RNA
Source: RNAcentral
AUCCUGGCUCAGAUUGAACGCUGGCGGAAUGCUUUACACAUGCAAGUCGAACGGCAGCAUAGGUGCUUGCACCUGAUGGCGAGUGGCGAACGGGUGAGUAAUACAUCGGAACGUGCCCAGUCGUGGGGGAUAACUGCUCGAAAGAGCAGCUAAUACCGCAUACGAUCUGAGGAUGAAAGCGGGGGACCUUCGGGCCUCGCGCGAUUGGAGCGGCCGAUGGCAGAUUAGGUAGUUGGUGGGGUAAAGGCUUACCAAGCCUGCGAUCUGUAGCUGGUCUGAGAGGACGACCAGCCACACUGGGACUGAGACACGGCCCAGACUCCUACGGGAGGCAGCAGUGGGGAAUUUUGGACAAUGGGCGAAAGCCUGAUCCAGCCAUUCCGCGUGCAGGAUGAAGGCCCUCGGGUUGUAAACUGCUUUUGUACGGAACGAAAAGCCUUGGGUUAAUACCCUGGGGUCAUGACGGUACCGUAAGAAUAAGCACCGGCUAACUACGUG